This 411-nucleotide long non-coding RNA is filed under the name Rattus norvegicus (Norway rat). Its description in RNAcentral is "long non-coding RNA NONRATT008404". The record is from RNAcentral. Lineage: Eukaryota; Metazoa; Chordata; Mammalia; Rodentia; Muridae.
CCCGGGCGUCCGGGGUGACUGUGGGUGGAGGAAUCGUGGUCUGAGCGUCGGAGCCAGCCGCGGGCGAAGAGGGAGCGGAGCCGCCAGCCUCCUCCCGCCGCCCGCAGAGCUGUUUGGAUUUGAGGAGGAGCAGCAGCACGGCCUCACGGCAGCAGGGAUGGGAUCAGAGAACAGCGCUUUAAAGAGCUACACACUGGGAGAGCCUCCAUAUACCCUACCAUCUGGACUUGCCGUUUAUCCCGCCGUACUGCAGGAUGGGAAAUGCGCUUCAGUGUUCGUGUACAAGCGAGAAAACGAAGACAAGGUUAACAAGGCUGCCAAGCACUUAAAGACACUCCGUCACCCUUGCUUGCUAAGGUUUUUAUCUUGUACUGUGGAAGCAGAUGGCAUUCACCUCGUCACCGAGAGAGU